AUUAAACGCUGGCGGCAUGCCUUACACAUGCAAGUCGAACGGUAGCGCGGGGCAACCUGGCGACGAGUGGCGAACGGGUGAGUAAAGCAUCGGAACGUGCCCUGGAAUGGGGGAUAACGUAGCGAAAGUUACGCUAAUACCGCAUAUUCUGUGAGCAGGAAAGCAGGGGAUCGCAAGACCUUGCGUUCUGGGAGCGGCCGAUGUCGGAUUAGCUAGUUGGUGGGGUAAAAGCCUACCAAGGCGACGAUCCGUAGCGGGUCUGAGAGGAUGAUCCGCCACACUGGGACUGAGACACGGCCCAGACUCCUACGGGAGGCAGCAGUGGGGAAUUUUGGACAAUGGGCGAAGCCUGAUCCAGCCAUGCCGCGUGAGUAAAGAAGGCCUUCGGGUUGUUAAAGGACU
Molecule: ribosomal RNA, 402 nt
Filed under: uncultured bacterium
Lineage: Bacteria
Description: bacterial SSU rRNA
Rfam family: Bacterial small subunit ribosomal RNA
Source: RNAcentral